CUUGCGUUACACAUCCAGCGAAAGAAAUGGACAGAAAUAAAUCAUGUUAUGUAUUUUUUUUGCAUCCAACGUUGUUGGAAAGUAUUGCGCACGUUACCCAGAAAAUGUUUAUUAGCCUACCUGUGAAAUGAGUUGUAUUUUGCAUAAGUGUUUGUGUCAUAGACAGGCUGUUGGUGGCACCAUGACCGGGCGUCUGCGCUUGAAGCGCCAGUGUCCCCCCCAGGCCGACACAUGGGACAUGCCUUCAUUGAGGUCUGUAAAGGGAGGAUGAUGAUAUUGCUGAUGAAGAAUCACGUCCUCCGGUUCUCCCCCAUAUAAACCAGAGGAAUGUCACAGAACUGAAGAAAGAAGCUGCGUUUCUCCAGAACGCCUCGCAGCUCCAGCUGCCAAAGAGCUACGAAACACAGGUAAGAGCGGCUCAAGUGACGGCCUCGGGUUACAGCUCAACGGCUCCGGUGCUGGCAGAGGGGUCUGGUUACAAACAUUCACAAAGAGCUGGGAAUGUCACUCCUGAAUUCUUGUUCUGAUUGGGUUCGUGAUACGAGCUUUAUGACACAUUUAUAUUGUUCUGAGUCAAUCUUUACAGUUACAGUAAACUGGCGUGGGAUUCUGAGCACUGCAGCAGUCUGGAUUAUUGAAGCGUCAGGGCUGUGAGGCAGCGCUGAGGUAACACCUGAGACGAGGACAUGCUCAGAGGCCAGAGGCCAAACGGAGCAGGGUUUCUAAUAACAGGCAAGGUCACCCACAGCGUUACUGGAGAGCUUAUCAGCACUGUAGAUAUUUGAGAAACGCUGGAGGAGGAGCUCUGCCCCACCGGACAGGGAUGGAAUGAAAAAAGCAGCAAGAAAUCUUAAGUGCCACUUGAUAUGAGAUGCUUUGGACAUGUACAGCGUGUCAGAGAGAGAAGUACAAUGGCAUCUGUGAUUAUGACAUGGCUGACUGGAAUGUCUGAUUCUGACUGUCAGUCACAGCAAUCACACAGAUGUUUCUGUUUAAUGACUGCUGAAAACUGGAUUUGACCAUUGAACCAUGCAUUUCCAGGCAGUGUUGUUGUAAAAAUAAGUUACACUAUUAAAACUUAUUUCUGUUAAUUGAAAAAAGGCUGAAGUAAAUUACAAUUAAAAUAUAAAUAUAUUAUGGCAAAA
Long non-coding RNA from Carassius gibelio (silver crucian carp), 1145 nucleotides. RefSeq lists it as uncharacterized. NCBI's taxonomy places the organism in Eukaryota, Metazoa, Chordata, Actinopteri, Cypriniformes, Cyprinidae. The transcript has 2 exons. The record is from RefSeq and is a predicted model, not a curated record.